GACGUUACGUCUUUGUUAUAUACGUCAAUGACAUCGAACGUCAUGGUAACAAAGUUGGGCAUGUUUUGUCAAAGAGUGCCACUCUCGGAUGGCAGUCAGUCAGUCCUUCCCAAUACCAGAAGUUACUCGCUCUUGGUUUCCGGCCCAGUACCCUCUUGCUGGACCCGGACUGCGUGUAUGAUGUCACCUGCCACCGCGCCUAUAGUACGCAUGCACCACGAUCCCGGAAGGAGAGCCCACAGAAACCGGACGCACCUAGCGGGAUCGCGGCACGGGGCGCUGUUGAUCCUCAGAUAGAUGGAGCGAGUCCUGACGCCAAAGUCGCCACCCCAAACCCGAGAAUUGCCAACAACAACUGUUGUUGAAUGGCGUCAAUCGCAAACAGCUCUCCAGGCCUAAGGUUCACAUUAUUCGAGAACAACAUAAUGAGGUCAGUCACAUUAACGGACGUGUCACGCAAUGCCUGCUCUACCUGUUG
This is a long non-coding RNA of Dreissena polymorpha, 478 nucleotides long. RefSeq lists it as uncharacterized. NCBI's taxonomy places the organism in Eukaryota, Metazoa, Mollusca, Bivalvia, Myida, Dreissenidae. The transcript has 3 exons. The record is from RefSeq and is a predicted model, not a curated record.